GGGGGUGACAGGACUCGACUUAAGCGUUCGAGGUAAAGGUGGCAUGUAGAGGUUGUCGGGAGGCCUCUUUAAACACCUGGCAAAACAUAAACGCAAACUACAAUCCAGUAGCAGAGGCAGAAGAAAUUCUCGCUUCUGAGGCGUUAGCAGUUGCCUAAAUAAGGCAACGCAUCCUCCGGCCGGUUUCCUGGGAGGUUGGAAGGAUGACGACAUGCAGGAUAGCCUGAUAUCCGUUAGCUUUUGGGAAUCAGGUGAAGAUUUUAAAAGCUACUCCGUUUUAAGAUCUUGCCUAUUAGAGCUUGACGGGGGAGAUCAAAGAAUAGGAUAAACAUGUAGAGGCUUUUAUCUGAUACUUAAGGACCCGGCUUCAAUGCCGGCACCUCCACCA
This 388-nucleotide transfer-messenger RNA is filed under the name Candidatus Aquitaenariimonas noxiae. Its description in RNAcentral is "Aquitaenariimonas noxiae Standard tmRNA". It matches the Rfam family "transfer-messenger RNA". Rfam says of the family: Bacterial tmRNA, also known as 10Sa RNA or SsrA, is named for its dual tRNA and mRNA-like properties. Lineage: Bacteria; Pseudomonadati; Candidatus Omnitrophota. The record is from RNAcentral.